RNAcentral lists this long non-coding RNA (693 nucleotides) under Nicotiana benthamiana. Its description in RNAcentral is "long non-coding RNA (NBEN_LNC030320)". The record is from RNAcentral. Lineage: Eukaryota; Viridiplantae; Streptophyta; Magnoliopsida; Solanales; Solanaceae.
GAAAAGGGUCUGCUUUGGGUAUAAAUAGGAGUCAUUCAGGACUAAUGUUGGGGUGGGAUUUUGAACAUUAGAAAUUCAAUAUUGAGAGUUUAGCUUUUUUUACACUAAGAUUUCAAAUUGAAAUUGGCAAUCUUCGGAUAGGCUGAUUUUUCAGAACUUGAAAUUCAGUCCUUGAGAGCUAAAAACUGAAAGUGAAGCCUUUUCUUUACUGUUGAAAAUCAGAACUGUGGUACUGCUUCUGUGGAUUGUAUUUGGUACUACUGAUUUUCACAUUGGCUUUCCUGGGUAUUCUGUUUGGUGUGGUACUGCUUCUGUGGAUUGCAUUUGGUACUACUGAUUUUCACAUUGGCUUUCCUGGGUUUUCUGUUUGGUUUUUGAGUACUGUUUCAUUGAGUUCCUAGGUUUCUGCUUGGGUUUCUGGUCUGCACUGGUUUUCUGCUACUGUUAUAUUGGUUUUUACUAUCUCUGGUGCAUCUGUGUUGCUGUUUGGUUUUUUGAAACUGUUAUUGGUUUUCCUGGGAACUGUUCUGUUGGGUUUCUGCCUAUUGCUGGUUAAUCUGCCUGCUAUUGUUAUUUCACCUGCUGAUCCUCCUCUUCUUCCUCUAUUUGUCUAAUUCCAAAUACACUUUCGAACCACUAUGAUGUAGCUGUAGCUUAGUAGGCAGAGAAUCAGUUGUGUAGUCUUGUUUUGAA